RNAcentral lists this ribosomal RNA (465 nucleotides) under uncultured bacterium. Its description in RNAcentral is "partial 16S ribosomal RNA". It matches the Rfam family "Bacterial small subunit ribosomal RNA", at positions 29 to 505 of the family's 1533-position model. The record is from RNAcentral.
ACGAACGCUGGCGGCGUGCUUAACACCUGCAAGUCGAACGGAAAGGCCCUGCUUUUGUGGGGUGCUCGAGUGGCGAACGGGUGAGUAACACGUGAGUAACCUGCCCUUGACUUUGGGAUAACUUCAGGAAACUGGGGCUAAUACCGGAUAGGAGCUCCUGCUGCAUGGUGGGGGUUGGAAAGUUUCGGCGGUUGGGGAUGGACUCGCGGCUUAUCAGCUUGGUGGUGGGGUCGUGGCUUACCAAGGCUUUGACGGGUAGCCGGCCUGAGAGGGUGACCGGCCACAUUGGGACUGGGAUGCGGCCCAGACUCCUACGGGAGGCAGCAGUGGGGAAUAUUGCACAAUGGGCGGAAGCCUGAUGCAGCAACGCCGCGUGCGGGAUGACGGCCUUCGGGUUGUAAACCGCUUUCGCCUGUGACGAAGCGUGAGUGACGGUAAUGGGUAAAGAAGCACCGGCUAACUACG